UGAAGGGCACUAGUAAGAACAUCAGUAAUCAAACAAUAAGUUCGUGCCAUAUUGGAGAAGAGAGAAUAGAGGAAGCCUCGCCCAGAGUGGAAGGGGACAUUUCGUGGGGGUAGUGAGAAGAGGAAUACAGUUGGAAUUGGCAGGCAGGAAGGAAAAAGUGGGAGGACUGGGGCAUUACAGGGAGACGUAAGGGAAGUGGUGUGGGGGGGGGAGGAGAAUAGGAGGAAGGAGAAAGAGAAGAGAGGAGAGAAACCUCAGAGUCACAGCACAGUAGGAGGAUUGAAGUGCUGGUGGGAGAGGAUGUGCUGAGAAGGAGAUGGAGCAGGCGAGGAGAUGGGCUGGGGAGACAGAUGGGCACUCCUGAGCCCUCUGUCUCUGCUCUGAAGGGGCCACAGCCUCCAGGCUGCCAGACUCCCUGGCAAGGCUUCUCCCUCCUCCUCCUCUCUUUCAUGAGUCCUGUGAAGGAUGGAGCAACAGUCUUCCUGGGGAGAGGAAGUGAGCUGUUCUGUCACACUGCCCUGUACGUGGCCCUGGCACAUCAUGUGGUUCCAGAGACAGCCAGCUCCGGACCAGCUACCGAAGAAGGAAAAGCAGAGGGAUCCUGGUGUGGAGAUGGGGACUUAAUCUAACUUUAUCCCACUCUUUCUUCUCCUUCAGCCCUAACCAGAUUUACCAAAUGAGCUUUCCUCAGAUCUCCAAAGAAGCCACUUGGGGUUACAAUAGUUGAGUGUUAAAGAAGGUAUGCAUUUAGCAAGUGGCUGAAGACAUUUGCCGAGAUGCUUGUCCUCUGACCCCCUGCAGCUUGACUGAUGUAAUGGGAGAGAUAUGUUGGCUAUAUUUAUGCAGUCAAGCCUCUGAAGAGAUGGAAUUUAUCUGGACAUCACUGGAAAACAAAUUUUGUUGUGAAACCUCUGAAGAUGUGUUUUCUCGAGAGCAUCUGAAAGGAGGAGUUUACAGAGCCAUCCUUCUAAGGGUCUGUGAUUCCAUUGCCUUUUUGGUGGUGCUCCUAAUUCCUUCAUGACCCGGCUGAUACAACUGUGAACUAGGAAGUAGGAUUCAACCAAGACUCCAACUUGCAGGCCCCUUGAUCAGUGCUUUGCCUCUAUAAGUGGUCCAGUUCUGGUUAGGGGUACAGAUAGGGAUCACAGAUCAGGGAGAAGACAAAUGGCUCAUUAGGAGAACCAAACCCAUUGUCUUGGUUGCAUUAAUUCUACACACCAACCCACUAGGGCAAAAGGCAGGUAAAGUACACCUCUCAAAACUGAUGGCCCAUCUAUAACAUCUUCAAGGGCUUCUGAGGUUCUAAGACAUAAACAUUUUGGGAAAUAUGCCUUCAAAUGAGAUGAUAGUAUCACCCACCCAAUAAUCAUCUUGUUUUUAGUUUAAGCCUCUCCUUGUCAUGUUUAAAAAAAUCAUAUGUAGUCACUAUGAAAAUUUCAAAUACUGAAGAGCACAGGAAGAAUGCAGAAACUUACUGCCACUUCCCAAAUGCAGAAAUGGCCAUCAUAAACAUUGGGGAGCUGUCCUUCCAGAUACCUUUGUGCUCAUAUUCCUGAACAGCAAAAGAAAAAAUGGAAAGACAAAAUUAUUUCCUAGAAAUAGGAUAAUGUCUUAUGAGCUAUUAUUUUUGUUUUGUUUUUGUUUUUUUGAGCUAUUGUUUUUUAACGGAAAGUAUCAUAUUUAAUUUUGUGUGACUUGAACAAAAGAAAAAUGAAUUAAAGUGAAACUAGAGAAACUGCUAAA
This is a long non-coding RNA of Neofelis nebulosa (Clouded leopard), 1743 nucleotides long. RefSeq lists it as uncharacterized. The transcript has 2 exons. NCBI's taxonomy places the organism in Eukaryota, Metazoa, Chordata, Mammalia, Carnivora, Felidae. The record is from RefSeq and is a predicted model, not a curated record.